RNAcentral lists this ribosomal RNA (497 nucleotides) under uncultured bacterium. RNAcentral describes it as "partial 16S ribosomal RNA". It matches the Rfam family "Bacterial small subunit ribosomal RNA", at positions 28 to 507 of the family's 1533-position model. The record is from RNAcentral.
GAUGAACGCUGGCGGCGUGCCUAAUACAUGCAAGUCGAGCGAACAGAUGAGGAGCUUGCUCCUCUGACGUUAGCGGCGGACGGGUGAGUAACACGUGGAUAACCUACCUAUAAGACUGGGAUAACUUCGGGAAACCGGAGCUAAUACCGGAUAAUAUAUUGAACCGUAUGGUUCAAUAGUGAAAGACGGUUUUGCUGUCACUUAUAGAUGGAUCCGCGCCGCAUUAGCUAGUUGGUAAGGUAACGGCUUACCAAGGCAACGAUGCGUAGCCGACCUGAGAGGGUGAUAGGCCACACUGGAACUGAGACACGGUCCAGACUCCUACGGGAGGCAGCAGUAGGGAAUCUUCCGCAAUGGGCGAAAGCCUGACGGAGCAACGCCGCGUGAGUGAUGAAGGUCUUCGGAUCGUAAAACUCUGUUAUUAGGGAAGAACAAAUGUGUAAGUAACUAUGCACGUCUUGACGGUACCUAAUCAGAAAGCCACGGCUAACUACGUG